GGAGCGGUGGUCUAGUGGCUAUGGCACUCUGUCUUGUAAACGGCAGAGAGAUCGGUGGUUCGAGUCCACCCCGCUCCG
This 78-nucleotide transfer RNA is filed under the name Colletotrichum orbiculare MAFF 240422. Its description in RNAcentral is "tRNA-Thr (TGT) (tRNA-Thr-TGT-5-1)". It matches the Rfam family "tRNA". Rfam says of the family: Transfer RNA (tRNA) molecules are approximately 80 nucleotides in length. The record is from RNAcentral. Lineage: Eukaryota; Fungi; Ascomycota; Sordariomycetes; Glomerellales; Glomerellaceae.